AGUGAACGCUGGCGGUAGGCCUAACACAUGCAAGUCGAACGGCAGCACAGUAAGAGCUUGCUCUUACGGGUGGCGAGUGGCGGACGGGUGAGGAAUACAUCGGAAUCUACUUUUUCGUGGGGGAUAACGUAGGGAAACUUACGCUAAUACCGCAUACGACCUACGGGUGAAAGCAGGGGAUCUUCGGACCUUGCGCGAUUGAAUGAGCCGAUGUCGGAUUAGCUAGUUGGCGGGGUAAAGGCCCACCAAGGCGACGAUCCGUAGCUGGUCUGAGAGGAUGAUCAGCCACACUGGAACUGAGACACGGUCCAGACUCCUACGGGAGGCAGCAGUGGGGAAUAUUGGACAAUGGGCGCAAGCCUGAUCCAGCCAUACCGCGUGGUGAAGAAGGCCUUCGGGUUGUAAAGCCCUUUUGUUGGGAAAGAGAAGCAGCAGGUUAAUACCCCGCUGUUCUGACGGUACCCAAAGAAUAAGCACCGGCUAACUUCGUG
This 491-nucleotide ribosomal RNA is filed under the name uncultured bacterium. Its description in RNAcentral is "partial 16S ribosomal RNA". It matches the Rfam family "Bacterial small subunit ribosomal RNA", at positions 29 to 507 of the family's 1533-position model. The record is from RNAcentral.